This 544-nucleotide ribosomal RNA is filed under the name Rigidoporus obducens. Its description in RNAcentral is "partial small subunit ribosomal RNA". It matches the Rfam family "Bacterial small subunit ribosomal RNA", at positions 359 to 948 of the family's 1533-position model. The record is from RNAcentral. Lineage: Eukaryota; Fungi; Basidiomycota; Agaricomycetes; Polyporales; Meripilaceae.
AAAUUUAGUCAAUGCUCGAAAGAGUGAACUAGCUAACUGAAAUCAAUAAUGUGUCAUUAUUGAUAACGUAAGGUAAAAAUAAUGAUGGUCCCUUACUAUUAGUGUCGUCCAAAUACUCGUGCCAGAAGACUCGGUAAGGCGAGAGACGCAAACGUUAGUCGUCUUAAUCAGGCGUAAAGGGUUUGUAGGCGGCUUUAAGAAUUUUUUUUUAAUUUAAAAAAAAAAAUCAAUUAAAGCUAGAAUCAAAAAGAGGUUAUAUUAAAAAAUGCUUAGAGUAGGGUUGGUAACUGGAGAUCCUAAGUAGAAUUCUAACGGCGAAGGCUUUUUUCCAUUAAUGAUUGACGCUGAGAAACUAAGGUGAGGACAGAAAAAAGGAUUUGAGACCCUUAUAUCCCUCACAUUCAACGAUGAAUGGUAGUUACUAGAAGUUUCUUUUAGAGACGAUGUUAACACGAAAACCAUUCCGCCUUGUGAGUACGACUGCAAAGUUGAAAACAAAAAAAUUAGUCGGUUUCGGAGCAAACGAAGUGGAGCAUGUUAUUUA